UACGGAGGGGGCUAGCGUUGUUCGGAAUUACUGGGCGUAAAGCGCACGUAGGCGGCUUUGCAAGUCAGAGGUGAAAGCCCGGGGCUCAACCCCGGAAUUGCCUUUGAGACUGCAUCGCUAGAAUUGUGGAGAGGUAAGUGGAAUUCCGAGCGUAGAGGUGAAAUUCGUAGAUAUUCGGAAGAGCACCAGUGGCGAAGGCGGCAUCCUGGACCAACACUGACACUGAGGAGCGAAAGCCAGGGGAGCAAACGGG
This 253-nucleotide ribosomal RNA is filed under the name uncultured bacterium. RNAcentral's name for it is "partial 16S ribosomal RNA". It matches the Rfam family "Bacterial small subunit ribosomal RNA", at positions 524 to 776 of the family's 1533-position model. The record is from RNAcentral.